UAUAGAAGGGGGGAGAUUGAGCUUCGACCACUGCGCAUCCUAUUUUCAUGGGACAAAAGUGGGUCCGCCAUUUGUCAGGUCAUAGCACGGUAUUAUGAUCACGGUUUAACAAUUUAGUGAAUAUUCUUGUCAUUUAGCUGCCAUUGCCUGCUGUCAAGUCAAACGAAUGUAAACAAUAAUAACAAAUAUCAACGUAUUUUUGGUGAUAUUUAGCGGAUUCGUGUGGUUUUAUUAGCUUUUUUUGCUGAAUAGCAGGAUAUUUACGAUGGCUUACUUCACAAUUAUAGUAUUUCUCCUUCAAAAUUGAUGAAAAGACUCAUCGAAU
Coccinella septempunctata (seven-spotted ladybird) is the source of this 325-nucleotide long non-coding RNA. RefSeq lists it as uncharacterized. Lineage: Eukaryota; Metazoa; Arthropoda; Insecta; Coleoptera; Coccinellidae. The transcript has 2 exons. The record is from RefSeq and is a predicted model, not a curated record.